AGGGACUUUAAACACAUAAUGGGUGAAGACCAAACCCAUUUUGGUGGAAGUCUGCCACAAGUACAUAGGAAACAACAAAAAGCCAAAAAAAAGGUCAAGCAUGGAUUCGUGGCUGAACUUUGAGAUUAAAAAGUGGGAGAAGCUUUAGCUAUGAAAUUGGUACUGCCAAACUCAACAAAAUACACAAAUAGCUCUUUGGCUUCUGCAUGUUGUGUUAGGCAAAGAAACCCAAUUCAUGUUGCACAUGAGGAAAAGAAAGAAGAAAUGGCUUACAGGACUCACU
RNAcentral lists this long non-coding RNA (283 nucleotides) under Prunus persica (peach). Its description in RNAcentral is "long non-coding RNA (PPER_LNC000511)". The record is from RNAcentral. Lineage: Eukaryota; Viridiplantae; Streptophyta; Magnoliopsida; Rosales; Rosaceae.